AAUGACUGGCAUAAAUUAUUUAAACGCUCAUUUAAUUUGUUAUUGCUAAAAUAUAAGCUUUCAUGCUUUGCAAUACGCGUUAGAAGUUUAAAAUAUAUUCAGUACUCGCGUAAAGAGUUAUGAUGCAAUUUUUUUUUUAAAAGAUUUCCACAUUUGAAACAUUAUUUUUUAACUCUGUGAGACUCUUGAUUUAUUCUUCGCUAAGUUAUAAAGUGUAUUAUGUCUUACCAGUUUGAAUAAAGGUAAUUCUAUGUCUUGUUGACCUUUAAAUAAAGAUAAAUAGAAAAUAUCCAGGUGCUCUAAAAUUUUUAGUUUUUCCCCAAACUUGUCAGACUUGUCAGUAGAAGGAGAAGAGUCUGUUCGUGUUGUCCACCCGUCCGCAUAAUAACCCAUCAAGAGAGACGCGUUGACAGGAAAAUUAGAAGUAUUUUAUUAGUUAGAACCUCCCCAUAAGCGACUAUUAUAGAUAAUAACAGUGAGACGAGGAAUUAAUGUAAAGCAUUUCAUGUCUUGGCAAAUGAUUAAGAGUCGAAACUGGUUAUGAGGGACGUAAUUAUUUCGGAAAGAAUGUCGACUCGUGUAAUAAUUUCUCUAGUUGCUUAAUAAGUUGAGUUAUCUAUCCUCUGAGCUCUUGCAAUGAGUUAAGUCGAUUCCGAGUUUCUGUCUGAAAUUGCUCUCGGAAUAAAUAUUUCUUGGUAAAAUGUUACUGCAACACAGUCUACGAUCUUUGCUGGAUGUUGUAAAUUGUCAAGAUGAAUUUAAAAAGAAGACAAUGGACUCCAUAAGAGAUAAGGGUGCUACAAAACAGAGCCGGACAGAUAUAAAUCUAGGAGACGAUCUGUGUCCUUCUCCUAAUGUAAUUGUAGAGUCAAACAUGCGUCAACAAGAGACUGAGAAGCACAGUAGGAAGAAGAAUCUAUUGUAAACAUCGCAGGACCCACGGUGUCGCCGUUAGGGCCAUCUGGGUCUCACAUAAAACCCUCAUUUUUAGGAAACGGUGCCGGGAGCUGGAUUAUCGGCUGGUGCCAUCUCUUUUACCCCCUGGUCCCUGAGCAACCACCUGCGGCUAUUAGGGGGUUUGUCACGAGCUUUUUCCCCUUUUACUGGACAAGCGUCUGGUCCGGGAUUAUUAUUUGUGCUAUACAAUGUCUGACUUCUGGACAUUUAACAGGCUGCACAAUCUAAUUAGGGAGUCCUUCUUUGUUUAGAAGGUGCUCUUCUCCAUCUAGGGGGUUUUGCAGUGACGUGUGGCAGAUGGCAAAUUGCUGGUUUGCCCGAUAGCUUUAAUCCGUUAAAAGAGGUCAUAUCUGCACCUCUGUUUAUGCUUUGCUCAACUACCAGUUCUGCCAUCAGUUUUGAAAGGUGGAAGGGCGUUUAAGUGGUUUCGGUUAGGUUAAUCUUUGCUUUGUAAAAAGGUUUUAUUUUAGAAUAAAAUCGAGAGUAAGUUAUUGUAAAUAGUUAUUCAGGGUUUAGAUAAUUACUAUCUAGAAUUUUCAAUGGUCCUUGACUGUUUAGAUAAAUAUAUUAUUUAAUUUUGCAGACUUCAACAGUUUAUCUGCGAGUUUUUGCAUUAGUUGUAGUUACUUUUAUUUAUAUGUGAGACGAAUGAGUAGUUUAUUAUUUCUUGAUGAAAUUUUUAUGAAUUUAGCAGCAAAAAUUCUGAAAAUUUAAUUUGAUAUACCGAACAAAAAUUCAAUACUUGGGAGAUUUACUUGAGUUAUGCGGUUGUAAAAUCGAAUAUAAGCCGAUCGGAAUUGCAAUAUUAUUCAUAAACCAGUGAUUACUUUAUUACCGACAUGUCAUACAAACUGGAAACAUGCAAAAGUCUCGUUACGACUUAUUUUUACAUCUUGUUCUAGAGAGAAAUAUUUUUUAAUAUUAAAGUUUGGAAAUUGCGAUCGUGUAUGGACUAUAAGAUGUUACCGAAAUAUGAGGCAAUGCACUUUGCCUCCUGCUAUUUUAAUCUUCUUGCAAAUCAUUUGAAUAUAUAUGAAACAAAAAUUGCAAUGUACUGAAUACGGUAUUCCUACCGGAAGGGUGGCUUAAUGUAAAAGUGAAGAAUAUGAAAAUUACUGUUUACGUUCAAACCCGUUUACAGUAAUUAACUUCUAAAUGAGUUCAUCUGCUUAAGAGUGGCACCCUUUAAAAUCUUGUUAGAGGACAAACGGCUCUAAUAGGAUCUGUGAACUCUUGUUAGAGAUUAACUUUACUUGUAAUGGUGUUGGCUUAUGUAACCAUUUCGUGAUCUUUAAGUCCCGAGUUACAUUAACAUUUUUAAAACGAAAAAAAGGGCGUCACUCAGUCUACGUUAUGACAUAAACUUGCCAAUUUUUACUUUUAAUCGCUUCUCAGGAGUCUUGUGAGACCUCGUAAACAACUGGCGAGUUGUAUCCAAGAAAAUGAUGGUUGUUUUUAGCAAUUAAUUCGGCCAAACCUCAAAUUGAAGCCGAAACAGCAGUAAAAACGUUUUGUACAAUUGAGGGCCUCUACAUGAUUCUGACCCCAAUUGUCCCAAAGAUUAAUUGCAAGUUAUUAAGUUGCUGUGAUCAGUCAAAGUAACUUUUUUUUUUCUUUUUUGAUUUCAGAAUGCGCCGGAUCCUUGGAGGGGGAUAACACAAACGAG
Molecule: long non-coding RNA, 2623 nt
Filed under: Androctonus crassicauda
Lineage: Eukaryota; Metazoa; Arthropoda; Arachnida; Scorpiones; Buthidae
Source: RNAcentral